Molecule: ribosomal RNA, 117 nt
Filed under: Pogona vitticeps (central bearded dragon)
Lineage: Eukaryota; Metazoa; Chordata; Lepidosauria; Squamata; Agamidae
Source: RNAcentral
AACUAACCUCACACCAUCCUAUAUACACCCAAUCCCAUCCAAUUUCAGAAGCUAAGCAGGGUUGGGCCUGUUUAAUUGGAUGGGAGACGACCAGGUAAUACCAGUGCAGUGCAGUGG